Molecule: small RNA, 142 nt
Filed under: Desulfosporosinus acidiphilus
Lineage: Bacteria; Bacillati; Bacillota; Clostridia; Eubacteriales; Desulfitobacteriaceae
Description: c-di-AMP sequence
Rfam family: c-di-AMP riboswitch aptamer (ydaO/yuaA leader)
About the family: This family represents a conserved RNA structure found upstream of the ydaO and yuaA genes in Bacillus subtilis and related genes in other bacteria. The ydaO/yuaA element is thought to act as a genetic "off" switch for the ydaO and yuaA genes in its native state.
Source: RNAcentral
UAUACUGAAUCGCUUAAUUCUUUUGGAAGCGGAGGAACCAUUUUUCUGGGGUGAAUCUUUCACGGGUAAUUUUCUUGUGAAAGUAGGGUUACUUUCGACCCGAAUCCGUCAGCUAACUUCGUAAGCGUUAGAAGGAAAGAAA